RNAcentral lists this long non-coding RNA (2571 nucleotides) under Olea europaea subsp. europaea. Lineage: Eukaryota; Viridiplantae; Streptophyta; Magnoliopsida; Lamiales; Oleaceae. The record is from RNAcentral.
GAAAUUAACAAAAACAAAAUCCCAUGCGAUUUUUACAUUGGAUUCUAUAUACUCUAUCGAAGAAAAGGAAAAAACAAAGUGGCGGGAGGAGAAUUAGAAUCUGCGAAGCAACUAGACCAGACACCAACAUGGGCAGUGGCAUUAGUUUCUGCGGUAAUCAUUUUAAUCUCCAUAGAGCUGGAAAAAAACUCUUCAUAAGUUCGGAGAGGUUAUUUUUCUUCGUAUUUUUUUGUGUAUUUAGGAACGGUAGUUUUGCUGCUUUUAAAAUGUGUCCUUUUAAUGUUAAAUUAUAUAACUAGACAGUUAUUUUCUAAUUGAUUCUGAUUGGGAAUGUGGGAUUGUUUUGCUAGACGACAAUGGAAAAAACGUAGUUGAAGGAGCUUGUUUGGGUGUUUGAUCAAGGAAAAGAUGGGGGGAUUCUUUUAUUUUCUGUUACAGGACGAAUAUGGAUUCUUGUGUUGUAUUUUCAGAAUUCAGAAUUUCACAAUUUUAGGCCGGAUUGACUUGAAAAUCGAUUGAUUUGCGAAUAAUUUCUACACUGUUUCCACUGUACUUUGAAUGAAAAAUAAUAAACCCUUGAUUUUUUAGAGUCAUUUAUUUGCUUUUUGACUCACCUUUUACUUCAUAAUUUACUUUUUCAGAGGUACUGGUUCUAGGCUUCAUUUCCCUUCUUUUUGACGUUUGGACAAAACUACAUUUCCAAAAUCGGUAUAACUGAAAGAAUUGGGUAUACUAUGUUGCCAUGUCAUUGUCAAAACUUCGUGUAUCUUGCUAAUUUCUUAUAGUGUUAACUGCUUGAAUAAAUCAAAUCUUUUAGAAUAGACUAAGUCAGUAUUGAGUUGUCAAUAAAAGAGUCAUACUAGGCUUUAUUUAACAGAUUAUAUCUGAAUAUUUUUAUUGAAGUUUGCUAACUUUUAGUCUAUAAAUUCAGUUUUUGUUGUAAUUAUUAAUUGUGGAUCUCAGUAAGAUUCUUUCAAUUCCUGUUUCAUUAAAUAAUUUUCUUGUCUUUUUGUCAUAUGGUAUCAGAACCAAGUUUAAAGUCCUUGUUUUAUUCACUCUUCUCGUCUAUCAAGUGUUGUCUUUUUGGAGAAAGGUGGACUCUGUUGCAAGAAAAUUCUUUAGUUUGAAACAUGGAAUUCUUUAGUGGAGGAAAUGGUUCUAAUACACAAAAUGGUGUUGAGAAACUAGUUGGCACAAACGACAAGUACUGGAGAAUGUGUAUGGAAGCUUACCUUCAAGGCCAAGAUCCGUGGGAAUUGGUUGUUGGUACUGAUUCAACAAUUCCAGAUGACACUCUUGAUAAUGCUGAACCACGACGGAAGUGGAAGAUCAGGUGUGGCAAAGCAAAGAGCUCAUUGAUGGUGUUCGUGAUGUUAAUUCUCCAAUUCAAGUUUGGGAAACUCUUGAGAGGUUGUUUUCUAAGAAGAAUACAGCAAGGUUGCAAUUUUUGGAGAAUGAAUUGGCAAUGACAAUACAAGGAAGUAUGUCAAUUUCAGAAUAUUUUUUACGAAUUAAAAGUAUUUGAGCUGAAAUUUUAGAACUAGAUGUUGAUGAGAAGAUCAGUGAAGCACGAUUACGGCGAUUCCUUAUUCACGGCAUAAAUAAAGAAUAUUCUCCUUUUGUUACCUCCAUCCAAGGAAGGGCCACUCAACCAUCAGUUGAGGAGUUAGAGAAUUUGCUCUCCAAUCAAGAGUCAUUGGCGAAGCAAAUGGCCAGCAAAUUCAAUUUUGAAUCAAAUGCUGCUUUUUUAUCAAAAGGAAAGUCUAAACAGAAGGAUAAUGAUGGCAGUCCACAAAGAAACAACUUGACCAAGUGCUAUAGAUGCGGGAAAAUUGGACAUAUAAAGAAAUAUUGUCGUGUGAAGCUUUCCAAAGCAAACAUUGCAAUUGAAUAUGAAGAAGAUGAUCAACUCAAGUGGGAGCACUGUUUUGCUACUAAAACAAUUGAAAGAGAGGAUGGUGCUCUUAAUGAUGACUGGAUCAUUGAUUCUGGUUGCUCGCAUCAUAUGACUGGCAAUGAUUAUUUACUUUCAGGCGUACGAUAGCAUAAUGGAGAACGAGUAAUUGUCACAUCUGAUAAUUCAACUUACCCAGUAGUAAAAGAAGUAGUUGUGAAGAUUAAGGUUGCCGAUGUUGCAAAGAUCCAAAGUGUCUUGUUGAAUGAUGUGUAUCAUGUCCUAGGUUUGAAGAAAAAUUUAGGAGUUGUUCUCUUCAUGUUUGAGUUUUUAGUUUUGAGUUUUGAAUAUCAUUUUGGGUUUUGUGUUUUGAGAUAGAUGGGUCAAUCGAUAGGUAUAAAGAUUAUCUCAUUGCUCGUGGUUUCUUUCAAAGCUAUGGCUUGGACAACGAAGAAACCUCCAGUUUAGUAUCAAAAAUGGUGAUUGUCAGGUCAAUUUUUUCACUUGCUGCCUUUAGAAGUUGGAAGUUGUGGCAACUUGAUGUGAAGAAUGCAUUUCUUUAUGUAGAAUUAGAUCGUGAUGUCUUCAUGGAAUGACCCCAAGGGUUCAUCUCCAAACAAUUUCCGCACCACGUUUGUCGGUUGAAGAAAGCACCAUAUGGAUUGAAACAAGCACCA